UACAUGUCAAAUUCAAAUUUGAUGUAGAAGCAAAUAAAACUUUGAAAUAUUUACAAGAAUUUGCACUGAAACUUUUACAGUAAAUAUUUGUUUCUCUUUGUGGUCUUUUUAAGUUGAAUCAGCAGCCUGAUAAUAUUUUCUUUAAAUAUAAAUAUGCUUACAAGUUAUAUAGCAUACUAUUGAGGGCAAAUUAUAUAUUCUAUAUAAUAUAGUAUUGUCUACCUUUAUCUGGUGAUGUAUAAAGCAAAAUUUAUGGCACUGUCCGACACUUAAAUUGAUUUUUUAUCGCCUUUCAACACGGCAAACUUGUUGUUGCCAUGCAUAAAUUACAACUCGAAUCGCAGUCGCAUAUUAAUGAGUGCAUUUACCAACACUAUUUUUACCAAGCUGGAGCGGAAUUCAAUUGGACAGUAAUAUUCCAAGCCAUUCAUAAAGUCAAGGACUCCUUAGUAGAUAUUCAGAUUACCCCACGUUUUGAUUUACUAAAAGUUAUUUUGUCAUUUUCAGUGCUAAUAUACACAUUUGGCAUUUGCGUAAAAUUAAAAUGUUACUAGAAUUAUUUUUAAUAAAAUUAUCAAUGUCGAUUCAUUAUGCGCUUAUAAUGCUUUUUUGUGUUCCAAUUGUAAUUGAAAUGUCAAUUCCAAAAACAUGAAUAUAUAUUUGAUAAACACUUUAAA
Long non-coding RNA from Drosophila mojavensis, 677 nucleotides. RefSeq lists it as uncharacterized. The transcript is spliced from 3 exons. The record is from RefSeq and is a predicted model, not a curated record. Lineage: Eukaryota; Metazoa; Arthropoda; Insecta; Diptera; Drosophilidae.